CUAUUAACUCAGUUGGUAAGAGUAUUGUGCUAAUAACGCAAAAGUCACAAGUUUAAUUGUAGCAUGGACCA
Molecule: transfer RNA, 71 nt
Filed under: Glycine max (soybean)
Lineage: Eukaryota; Viridiplantae; Streptophyta; Magnoliopsida; Fabales; Fabaceae
Description: tRNA-Ile
Source: RNAcentral